ACGAGUGGCGGACGGGUGAGUAAUGCUUGGGAACUUGCCUUUGCGAGGGGGAUAACAGUUGGAAACGACUGCUAAUACCGCAUAAUGUCUUCGGACCAAACGGGGCUUCGGCUCCGGCGCAAAGAGAGGCCCAAGUGAGAUUAGCUAGUUGGUAAGGUAACGGCUUACCAAGGCGACGAUCUCUAGCUGUUCUGAGAGGAAGAUCAGCCACACUGGGACUGAGACACGGCCCAGACUCCUACGGGAGGCAGCAGUGGGGAAUAUUGCACAAUGGGGGAAACCCUGAUGCAGCCAUGCCGCGUGUGUGAAGAAGGCCUUCGGGUUGUAAAGCACUUUCAGUUGUGAGGAAAAGUUAGUAGUUAAUACCUGCUAGCCGUGACGUUAACAACAGAAGAAGCACCGGCUAACUCCGUGCCAGCAGCCGCGGUAAUACGGAGGGUGCGAGCGUUAAUCGGAAUUACUGGGCGUAAAGCGCACGCAGGCGGUUUGUUAAGCUAGAUGUGAAAGCCCCGGGCUCAACCUGGGAUGGUCAUUUAGAACUGGCAGACUAGAGUCUUGGAGAGGGGAGUGGAAUUCCAGGUGUAGCGGUGAAAUGCGUAGAUAUCUGGAGGAACAUCAGUGGCGAAGGCGACUCCCUGGCCAAAGACUGACGCUCAUGUGCGAAAGUGUGGGUAGCGAACAGGAUUAGAUACCCUGGUAGUCCACACCGUAAACGCUGUCUACUAGCUGUGUGUGCCUUUAAGGCGUGCGUAGCGAAGCUAACGCGCUAAGUAGACCGCCUGGGGAGUACGGCCGCAAGGUUAAAACUCAAAUGAAUUGACGGGGGCCCGCACAAGCGGUGGAGCAUGUGGUUUAAUUCGAUGCAACGCGAGAACUUACCUACACUUGACAUG
RNAcentral lists this ribosomal RNA (893 nucleotides) under Alteromonas sp. 60(2010). Its description in RNAcentral is "bacterial SSU rRNA". It matches the Rfam family "Bacterial small subunit ribosomal RNA", at positions 91 to 988 of the family's 1533-position model. Lineage: Bacteria; Pseudomonadati; Pseudomonadota; Gammaproteobacteria; Alteromonadales; Alteromonadaceae. The record is from RNAcentral.